This 3008-nucleotide ribosomal RNA is filed under the name Salmonella enterica subsp. enterica serovar Senftenberg str. CFSAN004025. RNAcentral's name for it is "23S ribosomal RNA". It matches the Rfam family "Bacterial large subunit ribosomal RNA". Lineage: Bacteria; Pseudomonadati; Pseudomonadota; Gammaproteobacteria; Enterobacterales; Enterobacteriaceae. The record is from RNAcentral.
GGGUUGUGAGGUUAAGCGACUAAGCGUACACGGUGGAUGCCCUGGCAGUCAGAGGCGAUGAAGGACGUGCUAAUCUGCGAUAAGCGCCGGUAAGGUGAUAUGAACCGUUAUAACCGGCGAUUUCCGAAUGGGGAAACCCAGUGUGACUCGUCACACUAUCAUUAACUGAAUCCAUAGGUUAAUGAGGCGAACCGGGGGAACUGAAACAUCUAAGUACCCCGAGGAAAAGAAAUCAACCGAGAUUCCCCCAGUAGCGGCGAGCGAACGGGGAGGAGCCCAGAGCCUGAAUCAGCAUGUGUGUUAGUGGAAGCGUCUGGAAAGGCGCGCGAUACAGGGUGACAGCCCCGUACACAAAAGCGCAUGUGCUGUGAGCUCGAUGAGUAGGGCGGGACACGUGGUAUCCUGUCUGAAUAUGGGGGGACCAUCCUCCAAGGCUAAAUACUCCUGACUGACCGAUAGUGAACCAGUACCGUGAGGGAAAGGCGAAAAGAACCCCGGCGAGGGGAGUGAAAAAGAACCUGAAACCGUGUACGUACAAGCAGUGGGAGCACAGGUUUACCUGUGUGACUGCGUACCUUUUGUAUAAUGGGUCAGCGACUUAUAUUCUGUAGCAAGGUUAACCGAAUAGGGGAGCCGGAGGGAAACCGAGUCUUAAUUGGGCGUUAAGUUGCAGGGUAUAGACCCGAAACCCGGUGAUCUAGCCAUGGGCAGGUUGAAGGUUGGGUAACACUAACUGGAGGACCGAACCGACUAAUGUUGAAAAAUUAGCGGAUGACCUGUGGCUGGGGGUGAAAGGCCAAUCAAACCGGGAGAUAGCUGGUUCUCCCCGAAAGCUAUUUAGGUAGCGCCUCGUGAACUCAUCUCCGGGGGUAGAGCACUGUUUCGGCUAGGGGGCCAUCCCGGCUUACCAACCCGAUGCAAACUGCGAAUACCGGAGAAUGUUAUCACGGGAGACACACGGCGGGUGCUAACGUCCGUCGUGAAGAGGGAAACAACCCAGACCGCCAGCUAAGGUCCCAAAGUCAUGGUUAAGUGGGAAACGAUGUGGGAAGGCCCAGACAGCCAGGAUGUUGGCUUAGAAGCAGCCAUCAUUUAAAGAAAGCGUAAUAGCUCACUGGUCGAGUCGGCCUGCGCGGAAGAUGUAACGGGGCUAAACCAUGCACCGAAGCUGCGGCAGCGAACGUAUCACUUAAAGCGAUUCAGCGGGUUACGAUUGACGGAGCGAAGCGACGUCAAAGCGUAUACAAAGUCGAGUCGGUUUAAGGAUACGUUCGUUGGGUAGGGGAGCGUUCUGUAAGCCUGCGAAGGUGGCCUGUGAGGGUUGCUGGAGGUAUCAGAAGUGCGAAUGCUGACAUAAGUAACGAUAAAGCGGGUGAAAAGCCCGCUCGCCGGAAGACCAAGGGUUCCUGUCCAACGUUAAUCGGGGCAGGGUGAGUCGACCCCUAAGGCGAGGCCGAAAGGCGUAGUCGAUGGGAAACGGGUUAAUAUUCCCGUACUUGGUGUUACUGCGAAGGGGGGACGGAGAAGGCUAUGUUGGCCGGGCGACGGUUGUCCCGGUUUAAGCGUGUAGGCUGGUUUUCCAGGCAAAUCCGGAAAAUCAAGGCUGAGGCGUGAUGACGAGGCACUACGGUGCUGAAGCAACAAAUGCCCUGCUUCCAGGAAAAGCCUCUAAGCAUCAGGUAACAUCAAAUCGUACCCCAAACCGACACAGGUGGUCAGGUAGAGAAUACCAAGGCGCUUGAGAGAACUCGGGUGAAGGAACUAGGCAAAAUGGUGCCGUAACUUCGGGAGAAGGCACGCUGACACGUAGGUGAAGUGAUUUACUCAUGGAGCUGAAGUCAGUCGAAGAUACCAGCUGGCUGCAACUGUUUAUUAAAAACACAGCACUGUGCAAACACGAAAGUGGACGUAUACGGUGUGACGCCUGCCCGGUGCCGGAAGGUUAAUUGAUGGGGUCAGCGCAAGCGAAGCUCCUGAUCGAAGCCCCGGUAAACGGCGGCCGUAACUAUAACGGUCCUAAGGUAGCGAAAUUCCUUGUCGGGUAAGUUCCGACCUGCACGAAUGGCGUAAUGAUGGCCAGGCUGUCUCCACCCGAGACUCAGUGAAAUUGAACUCGCUGUGAAGAUGCAGUGUACCCGCGGCAAGACGGAAAGACCCCGUGAACCUUUACUAUAGCUUGACACUGAACAUUGAGCCUUGAUGUGUAGGAUAGGUGGGAGGCUUUGAAGUGUGGACGCCAGUCUGCAUGGAGCCGACCUUGAAAUACCACCCUUUAAUGUUUGAUGUUCUAACGUGGACCCGUAAUCCGGGUUGCGGACAGUGUCUGGUGGGUAGUUUGACUGGGGCGGUCUCCUCCUAAAGAGUAACGGAGGAGCACGAAGGUUGGCUAAUCCUGGUCGGACAUCAGGAGGUUAGUGCAAUGGCAUAAGCCAGCUUGACUGCGAGCGUGACGGCGCGAGCAGGUGCGAAAGCAGGUCAUAGUGAUCCGGUGGUUCUGAAUGGAAGGGCCAUCGCUCAACGGAUAAAAGGUACUCCGGGGAUAACAGGCUGAUACCGCCCAAGAGUUCAUAUCGACGGCGGUGUUUGGCACCUCGAUGUCGGCUCAUCACAUCCUGGGGCUGAAGUAGGUCCCAAGGGUAUGGCUGUUCGCCAUUUAAAGUGGUACGCGAGCUGGGUUUAGAACGUCGUGAGACAGUUCGGUCCCUAUCUGCCGUGGGCGCUGGAGAACUGAGGGGGGCUGCUCCUAGUACGAGAGGACCGGAGUGGACGCAUCACUGGUGUUCGGGUUGUCAUGCCAAUGGCACUGCCCGGUAGCUAAAUGCGGAAGAGAUAAGUGCUGAAAGCAUCUAAGCACGAAACUUGCCCCGAGAUGAGUUCUCCCUGAGACUUUAGGUCUCCUGAAGGAACGUUGAAGACGACGACGUUGAUAGGCCGGGUGUGUAAGCGCAGCGAUGCGUUGAGCUAACCGGUACUAAUGAACCGUGAGGCUUAACCUUACAACGCCGAAG